This 376-nucleotide RNase P RNA is filed under the name Thermacetogenium phaeum DSM 12270. RNAcentral describes it as "Bacterial RNase P class A". It matches the Rfam family "Bacterial RNase P class A". Rfam says of the family: Ribonuclease P (RNase P) is a ubiquitous endoribonuclease, found in archaea, bacteria and eukarya as well as chloroplasts and mitochondria. Its best characterised activity is the generation of mature 5'-ends of tRNAs by cleaving the 5'-leader elements of precursor-tRNAs. Cellular RNase Ps are ribonucleoproteins. The record is from Rfam by way of RNAcentral. Lineage: Bacteria; Bacillati; Bacillota; Clostridia; Thermoanaerobacterales; Thermoanaerobacteraceae.
CAAGCAGUCCGGAUGAUCGCGCGUGCCAGGGCCGAAAGGCGGUACGUGAGGAAAGUCCGGGCUCCACAGGGCAGGGUGCUGGGUAACACCCAGUGGGGGUGACCCCGAGGAAAGUGCCACAGAAAUGGAUACCGCCCGGUACUCAUAACGGGUGCCGGGUAAGGGUGGAACGGUGCGGUAAGAGCGCACCAGCGGCCAGGCGACUGGUCCGCUAGGUAAACCCCACCUGGAGCAAGACCGAAUAGGGAGGCAAUGAAGCGGCCCGCAUGAGCCUCCGGGUAGGUUGCUUGAGGCCCCGGGCAACCGGGGUCCCAGAGAGAUGAUCAUCACCUUCGGAAGGAAGGUACAGAACCCGGCUUACAGGACUGCUUGCUCA